UGGCCGUGAUGACUUCUUAGGACACCUUUGGAUUAAACGAUGAAAAUAACUCAAAGAUCUGAGCUGC
Molecule: small nucleolar RNA, 67 nt
Organism: Plectropomus leopardus (leopard coralgrouper)
Lineage: Eukaryota; Metazoa; Chordata; Actinopteri; Perciformes; Serranidae
Product: small nucleolar RNA SNORD58
Source: RefSeq, a predicted model, not a curated record